This 492-nucleotide ribosomal RNA is filed under the name uncultured bacterium. RNAcentral describes it as "partial 16S ribosomal RNA". It matches the Rfam family "Bacterial small subunit ribosomal RNA", at positions 29 to 507 of the family's 1533-position model. The record is from RNAcentral.
AGUGAACGCUGGCGGUAGGCCUAACACAUGCAAGUCGAACGGCAGCACAGUAAGAGCUUGCUCUUACGGGUGGCGAGUGGCGGACGGGUGAGGAAUACAUCGGAAUCUACUUUUUCGUGGGUGAUAACGUAGGGAAACUUACGCCAAUACCGCAUACGACCUACGGGUGAAAGCAGGGGAUCUUCGGACCUUGCGCGAUUGAAUGAGCCGAUGUCGGAUUAGCUAGUUGGCGGGGUAAAGGCCCACCAAGGCGACGAUCCGUAGCUGGUCUGAGAGGAUGAUCAGCCACACUGGAACUGAGACACGGUCCAGACUCCUACGGGAGGCAGCAGUGGGGAAUAUUGGACAAUGGGCGAAAGCCUGAUCCAGCCAUACCGCGUGGGUGAAGAAGGUCUUCGGGUUGUAAAGCCCUUUUGUUGGGAAAGAAAAGCAGCAGGUUAAUACCUCGCUGUUCUGACGGUACCAAAAGAAUAAGCACGGGCUAACUUCGUG